UACGUAGGGUGCAAGCGUUACUCGGAAUUACUGGGCGUAAAGCGUGCGCAGGCGGUUCGCUAAGUCAGAUGUGAAAUCCCCGGGCUUAACCUGGGAACUGCAUUUGUGACUGGCGGGCUAGAGUAUGGCAGAGGGGGGUAGAAUUCCACGUGUAGCAGUGAAAUGCGUAGAGAUGUGGAGGAAUACCGAUGGCGAAGGCAGCCCCCUGGGCCAAUACUGACGCUCAUGCACGAAAGCGUGGGGAGCAAACAGG
RNAcentral lists this ribosomal RNA (253 nucleotides) under uncultured bacterium. Its description in RNAcentral is "partial 16S ribosomal RNA". It matches the Rfam family "Bacterial small subunit ribosomal RNA", at positions 524 to 776 of the family's 1533-position model. The record is from RNAcentral.